This 459-nucleotide ribosomal RNA is filed under the name uncultured bacterium. Its description in RNAcentral is "partial 16S ribosomal RNA". It matches the Rfam family "Bacterial small subunit ribosomal RNA", at positions 338 to 795 of the family's 1533-position model. The record is from RNAcentral.
CCUACGGGAGGCAGCAGUGAGGAAUAUUGGUCAAUGGGAGAGAUCCUGAACCAGCCAAGCCGCGUGAGGGAAGACGGCCCUAUGGGUUGUAAACCUCUUUUGUCGGAGAACAAAACCCGGGACGUGUCCCGGACUGCGUGUAUCCGAAGAAAAAGCAUCGGCUAACUCCGUGCCAGCAGCCGCGGUAAUACGGAGGAUGCGAGCGUUAUCCGGAUUUAUUGGGUUUAAAGGGUGCGUAGGCGGUCCGUUAAGUCAGCGGUAAAAUUGCGGGGCUCAACCCCGUCGAGCCGUUGAAACUGGCAGACUUGAGUUGGCGAGAAGUACGCGGAAUGCGCGGUGUAGCGGUGAAAUGCAUAGAUAUCGCGCAGAACUCCGAUUGCGAAGGCAGCGUACCGGCGCCAGACUGACGCUGAGGCACGAAAGCGUGGGGAGCGAACAGGAUUAGAUACCCCAGUAGUC